This 550-nucleotide ribosomal RNA is filed under the name uncultured archaeon. RNAcentral describes it as "bacterial SSU rRNA". It matches the Rfam family "Archaeal small subunit ribosomal RNA", at positions 325 to 879 of the family's 1478-position model. The record is from RNAcentral.
ACGGGGCGCAGCAGGCGCGAAAACUUUACCAUGCGGGCAACCGUGAUAAGGAAACCCCGAGUGCCAGCACGGGCUGGCUGUCCACCAGUGUAAAUAACUGGUGAAGAAAGGGCCGGGCAAGACCGGUGCCAGCCGCCGCGGUAAUACCGGCGGCUCGAGUGGUGGCCACUAUUACUGGGCUUAAAGGGUCCGUAGCUUGAUAUGCAAGUCUUUUGAGAAAUCCGCCGGCUUAACUGGUGGGCGUUCAGGGGAAACUGCAUUUCUAGGGACCGGGAGAGGUGAGAGGUACUGCCGGGGUAGGAGUGAAAUCCUGUAAUCCCGGUGGGACCACCUAUAGCGAAGGCAUCUCACCAGAACGGGUCCGACAGUGAGGGACGAAAGCUGGGGGAGCAAACCGGAUUAGAUACCCGGGUAGUCCCAGCUGUAAACGAUGCGCGUUAGGUGUGUCAGUGACCACGUGUCACUGAGGUGCCGAAGGGAAACCGUGAAACGCGCCGCCUGGGGAGUACGGUCGCAAGGCUGAAACUUAAAGGAAUUGGCGGGGGAGCAC